AAUGAAGUUACUGCUGUUGCUGAAUUUCCUUUAACUUCCACAAUGCUCAUGUUGUUUUCACAGAUGGAGUGACUCCUACAGACAUCAUUAUCUGGAAUGUAAUGAAAGGGGCCCGAUACAUCUCUGUGUCAUGAAAGUUUUGAAAUGUUACUGAGACAGUCAUGUUUCUGGAACAGCACAGGAUGUAGGUCAAUCUUGGCUGUGUCCUACAGGUGGGAGGAUCAAGGCAACACAUCCUGGGCAUUUUCAGGGAUUACAGGCUGGCAGCUGCUGACACCGAUGUGUAGCACAGGGAGCAGUUGGGCUGUGCAGUGUUUGCUUCCAGCGAGUGCCCCUGUUGUCUCCUUGGAGUUGCUGCUCCAUCCUGAAAAAACAUUACUGAGACACCACUGGUGCUGCUUUGCAGGAGGAUGUUCUCAGGACUCUGGCACACAAGGUGAAGUACCAGCCAGCUUUUCUGACAGCAAGGAAAAGUGUCUUGAAUGUUUCUCUAGAAAGUACAGUGGGUUUUCUUUUUAAACUUUUUUUUUUUCUCUGCCAGAUGCCCAAGGGGCAAAGUUUGAUAAAUAAUUAAAAAAAACCCUUAAAACAAAAAACACAAACAAAACAAACAAACAAAACCCAAGAAAACAAAAAAGCAAAAUUUAGUUCUCUUUCCUCUUUUUGCCAAUGACUAUUUUCUUGGUUAUGUUGAAUAUUGCUAAUUGUUGUUAGUGAAAAGAAGGCUGUCUUCAAACAAUUUAAUCCUAGCCCAGAUGCCACUGCUCUGUUUAGAUUCAUCUAUUAAUAUUUCUGUGCAGUUAACUAAAAUUCUGGGAUGUUUCCUCUUUCCUCUCUGAAAACAGUGUUUGGUAAGGACUGUAGACUGUUUAGGUCUAUGGAACUGGUCAUUGUAAGCAAAGACACAGAGGGUUGAUUGGUGACCUUGUCUUGCUUUUGGCUGGAGCUUCCUCAGCUUGGUGUGACCAGGCCCAGCAGUCACUUUCCUGUUUUGACAUUGGUGGUCACUUUGCUGCUUCAGACAUGUAGACAGUAUUAUGUCCUUGACUUUUCCCACUCCUCGACAUAUGACAAACCCUCUGGAAAAUCCUGGUAUGUUGGUAAAAUUUACUUAUGAGUUUUGGUUUUGAUACAAAGAAAAGGAAAAUUAAAGUAGAAAUGGGGCAGAGGAAACCUGAGUGGUACAAAAAGAGGGGGAACAUGACAGAAGGAUCCUGUGAAGAAUGAGGGCUCUUGCUGGGAGGGUGUGGGGAGCAUCAGCUGGGUUUUCAGUAAUACAGGUGAGCAGAGGAGGGGCACUGAUAUAAAGAAACAAAAAAUUGUGAGAUAUGUCCCAGCCCCACCUUCUCAGGUUCAGCACCACUGAACUUCAGUAUCUGAGGUUCUGUAUGCCAAAGCAUGCAGGACUUGGGAGGUGUUUGCAACUGCAAAUCCAGGUAUUGUGGGGCUCAGGAAAGUAGUCUUAGGAGAAGUAGAACAUUGCUGUGGAAUACUUCAAAUGAAUUUGUGAAUUGAAAAAACAAUUUUCACAGUUUGUUUGCAAUAUGUAGUGUUUGAUUCUAAAUAAAAGCAUACUCCAAUAAUAAACUUCUGUUUUCACAG
Molecule: long non-coding RNA, 1602 nt
Organism: Parus major (Great Tit)
Lineage: Eukaryota; Metazoa; Chordata; Aves; Passeriformes; Paridae
Exons: 3
Source: RefSeq, a predicted model, not a curated record